Molecule: long non-coding RNA, 323 nt
Filed under: Zonotrichia albicollis (white-throated sparrow)
Lineage: Eukaryota; Metazoa; Chordata; Aves; Passeriformes; Passerellidae
Description: lncRNA (ENSZALG00000001186.1)
Source: RNAcentral
GAAGAAAGUUCCAUUUUUAAGAGGAGAGAUGAAUAUUUGCUCUUAGGCACCUGGAAACAGAGAUUGUCAAUUUCUAAGGGCAGAAAACAAAUAUCCCAUGUGGACAGACACAUUCCCAGCUCUCUCCUGUUCACUGAACUUGCUGGAAUGAGAACCUGCACAGCACUGGGCCAGCUUCAUUUUAUUUUAUCUAGAAUGCAAUGACUUUCAAACAACAGUGCCUUUCUGUGGAACUUUUAUGAAACUGGAAUGCUGCAUUGUUCUUUGUUGUGACAGGUAAUAUUUCAAGUAAUAAAUUAUUUUCUCUUUCAGCCUAGGUGCCA